UUGGCAGCAUACCUAUUCGAUUUAAGUUUUUGACAAAUGUGCAUUUUCUUUUAACAAAGGUAGUUAAUUAAAAAACAACAAUACAAUUAGCUAUAAACAGAAAAUCUCCCCGAAAUACGUCUGCGACUUUAAAGUCAUAGUCAUAAACAACAUCAGCAGUUUUUUCUAAGUUGAAAAAAAAGUUUCGUUCUUUUAAAUACCUAUAAUACCGUAUGGUACAUAGUGUUAAGGUCCUUUCCCACUGGUGCGUUUGGAUUUAAGAAAUAUACUAUCUUAACGUAUUUGUAUGUGAUAAUUCCAAGUUUUCGGAAGAGUUUACACCGGUCCAGUCAUAUCAUGACCAAAUUUAAAUUGUGAGCACGAGCACUAAACCGAUCCGGGCGAUUGCCGUACAUUCAUCGUAAAUAUAAUCAAAAAGCUCACAGUUUGUUUUUUAAAUUUUAAAAAUGUAUAAUGAAGGAAUCAUCAAAUUAGGAAAUGACUUGAACCAGAGGGAUAGAACCUUAGAUCAUAGGCGGACAUUUGGUUGAAUUUUUUUUUUUUGGAGGGGCUAAAGAAUUCAAUGUAAAAUAAUCCGCAGGGGCUUCCCCCACAACCCCUUCCAAUGCACAAGUAAAACUUAUUAGGUAUUAAAAAUAUAGAUAUGUUUAAAUUGUA
Sipha flava (yellow sugarcane aphid) is the source of this 657-nucleotide long non-coding RNA. RefSeq lists it as uncharacterized. Lineage: Eukaryota; Metazoa; Arthropoda; Insecta; Hemiptera; Aphididae. The transcript has 3 exons. The record is from RefSeq and is a predicted model, not a curated record.